GCCGGGGUGGCGAAACUGGCAGACGCAGGGGACUUAAAAUCCCCCGGUUGGUGACAACCAUACCGGUUCGAUUCCGGUCCUCGGCACCA
RNAcentral lists this transfer RNA (89 nucleotides) under Selenomonas sputigena. RNAcentral's name for it is "tRNA-Leu". It matches the Rfam family "tRNA". From Rfam's summary of the family: Transfer RNA (tRNA) molecules are approximately 80 nucleotides in length. Their secondary structure includes four short double-helical elements and three loops (D, anti-codon, and T loops). Further hydrogen bonds mediate the characteristic L-shaped molecular structure. tRNAs have two regions of fundamental functional importance: the anti-codon, which is responsible for specific mRNA codon recognition, and the 3' end, to which the tRNAs corresponding amino acid is attached (by aminoacyl-tRNA synthetases). tRNAs cope with the degeneracy of the genetic code in two manners: having more than one tRNA (with a specific anti-codon) for a particular amino acid; and 'wobble' base-pairing, i.e. permitting non-standard base-pairing at the 3rd anti-codon position. The record is from RNAcentral. Lineage: Bacteria; Bacillati; Bacillota; Negativicutes; Selenomonadales; Selenomonadaceae. RNAcentral also lists the same sequence under 3 other names.